This 631-nucleotide long non-coding RNA is filed under the name Drosophila guanche. The record is from RNAcentral. Lineage: Eukaryota; Metazoa; Arthropoda; Insecta; Diptera; Drosophilidae.
GCUGCCCAAAACCAGUUUGUUGGGUUGCUCUGUCAUGGUUCUGGGGCGUUGAAAGCGUACAAAUAUUGUGACGUCAUUGUGGCUUAAGCAACAGAAAGAGGAACGAACCCCUCCACAACAAGUAAGUAAAUUAAAAGUGUUUUCUGUGUGUUUGCCGCUUCCUGUAAUGAAAAUGGCGGCUUGUCAUGCGAUUUGGUCUCGCCUCCGGUAGCAGACCGACGCGACUUUGCGUCUGAAUAAACGGCAGCAGGACAAGAGCUGCCAUGAAAGCCUCAAGAGUUGGGCUGGCAAACCCUUUCAAGUAUUCCAGUCGCUGGCUUAAAGCUUCUCUUACAGUUUUUGUCCCACUUUUCUUCGAACUGUGCUGCAGAUUUGAAAGCCAAAGAAUUCCUUGAAAUUCGCUUCGGGCAUGUGAAGCAAUUUGUGAAUUCUGAUUAUAUUUUCGUUAUAUUUUUCUUUGUCUUUGAAUUGGUGCUUUUAUUGUUUUUGUUUCCUUCUCUUGCCGCGCUUAAUUUUCUGCUUUAGCAAAUUAUUUCUGCCAGCGUUUUGUUAACUUUUGCAUUUUGUUUUCCAUUUUCCAUUUUCCAUUUCCCAUUUUCCAUUUAUUUUCUGCCAGAUUUUUCCAUUUACG